This 337-nucleotide long non-coding RNA is filed under the name Dromaius novaehollandiae (emu). RNAcentral's name for it is "lncRNA (ENSDNVG00000018281.1)". Lineage: Eukaryota; Metazoa; Chordata; Aves; Casuariiformes; Dromaiidae. The record is from RNAcentral.
AUGACCCCAGCUGCUGUGCACAGAGAGCCUCCCACCUUCCCAAAGCUGGAUUCCUCUAUUUGGCAUCCAGGAGCCUUUUCGCAAGCUUCAGAAAAGACUUGGCACACAGUACAUGUGGAAAAGAGAAGGGGAAGAAAAAAGCAAGAAAAAAGGAAAGAAAAAAAGCAUAUGUCCCUUUGAUUGUUUCUAAGGCAACAGGAUAAAACUGAGAGAUCCAAUGUUAUAAGACCAGACUUAUAACUCCUGGACUUUCUGAGACCUCACAGAGCCCCUUGUCUUUCCAUUCAGUGAAGGAGAAAUUUUUGCAAGGUAUUUAUUUUCAGAUACAGUCACUAAA